UUGUGUGUGCCUCUUAUUUAUUUGUCUUCAUGGGCAAUUCACUGAAUAAAACAAAUACUGUUACAACACAAAAAAAUGACCAUUCUCCAAAAGCAAUUUUGGCCACAUGUUAUGUACAUGUUACUACAUAAUAAAAAGGCCUCCUCAUAUCACUGUGUCCUCCUUUUUAAUGAUUAAAAAAAAGAAAAGAAAAAGCAUGUCACUGUUCACCAAGCAUUUACAUUGGAAUCAAAUGCUCAGGUCAAACCACCUUUACUUUUUUAUUUGCAAAUGCAAAACUUGUCAACAAUAAAUAAUACUAUAAAAUGUACACAAAAAAGAUUGACAGUCCACCACGAGUUAAAACAGUUUGGAUGAUUAGGAACGAGAAAGUCUGGAAGGGGUGGGGUGAGGGGGUUCUCUUCUUAGCAAAAAUGUGACGGUCCAUACAAGCUACAGAAAAAGCUGAUCAUCUAUACAUUGACACUAGCAAGAUAACAAAGUUGUUGUUUCUGGUAUAUUUCAUUUUGUACAAAGAAGGGAGAGUCUUCUUUACAAGCGAGCAUCAUUGUCUUAACUGGAGAGAUUAUACAAGCAAGAGUUAAGGCAACUUCUCCGUUGUUUCUGAAAAGUAACAUGAAGUUGAAUCAUGUUUUAUUUUGCCUGUGGACCACUUGUUUUUAGCAGUUUUGGAGUUGGUUGUCAUUGCAUAAUUAAGGCUGCUGACCAGGCCUGUAGUCCAUCGCCAAAAAAGGAAUGCUGGAUAUUUGUCACGAGUCGGGUUGCCAUCACAAAGACUGACUCGGUGGUCCAGGUUUUCCCCACGAGAGUCAGGCUUUCGCAUGUUUGGUGUCUGUCUCAGGCACAGAUAGUAUACCGCUUGUGACGCCAACACAGCAUGGUGCAGAUUAGAAACAGACACAAUUGGGCAUGUUGCUGUAGUCUCUGUAUGUAAGUGUCUCUAUGUAAGCAGGAGUGAAAACAGACAUAACAACGGAUUGCAGUAAGUUCCUCAUCAAAUCAAGCCCUCUCAACAUUUUAAAUCAGUAUGAAAGUACUGGUUAAGAUAUCUGGGGUUUUCCAUCCUAGGAAUAAAUUUGUUAAAUUUUCCUGAAGGCGCCACAAGAAAGGUCAGGGAAAGGUCAAUAAAACAAACAGAGUUAUUCUCUGGGGAAGAAAUUAAAUCAAUUUCAAUUUAUAUUCUUCUGAUGUAAACUGUAUUUUUUGGGAAAGUAUUACAGAAAGAAGUAGCUCUACUUAAAGGAAUAAGUCACCCUAAAAUCACAUUUGCACAUCUUCCCUGUGGCCUGCCAUGCUUUCACUCCAUUCCUAUCUUGUGUAUUGGCUGUAAAGAUUUUUGCCUUCUCGUCUCUUCGGUAUAAUGGAACUAAACGUCUCUUAAAUAUUUGUGUGCAACAGGUUAGGGUUAGGAUUUGAAAAACUCGGCAGAGCAGGGCCCACUUAAUUCAGAAACCUUUAAUGUACUAUUUUCCAAAUAAUGUCUGCUCUUGUCAUGGGAAAAUGAAAGGUUUCUUCUGCACAGUCAUGGGUGUAGUUCUGUAGGAAGAGUAAAUGGAUCAUGAUUUUGGAAAUGGGCAUUACUGUUGAGUUUUUCAAAUCUGUUUUAGCACUUUAAACACACAUGCAAAUGUCACUCACAGACUGUGUAUUUAAGAUGGACUAAGCCACCGUGCCGUCACCCACUGACCAUUUGUGCUUGGGCUGUUUGGGCCAUUUGCGCAACGUUGGUUUCCAUGCUGGAGCCAUAAGUGACUAUAUCUGGAUGAAAGGGUGCUAACACUUGUGAGUUUGGUUAGCAAGCACCACACAUACAUGCCUGCUAAUGAGCUUUAAGUAACAGACUAAUAAAAUAUUAUAAUUCAUUCACCAAAAUUAAAGCACAAACCUCUUGAGUGGGCUGAUAGAUGGCAUAUUAAUUGUCUGAAAAUAUAAUUAAAAAUGUUGUAAAAGACACCAACACCUAAACCAAGUGUUGUUCUUAUGAAAGGGGAAACUCCAAAAACUGUUUUUGUGCCAGGCUGUAAAACAUGGUUGUAUGCUCUUUUUAAUGUAUUUUGACAAAGGAAGCUAACUGAACUUCUUUGUUUUUGGAAAAAGCCUCAAGUGGCCAAUCCGGGAACUGCAUUCCUUUAUAUUUCCUGCAGCUCAAUGUGAUUUAAUUCCAUUAUAUCACUAUAUUCAAAACUACACCAAAAAUAACAGCACUAGAUGCGUAUUUUAGUCUGUCUCUUUAAGUGCAAUACAGCAAAAGGCAGACAAGAGCUUCAUAAGACUGGCUCCGCUUGCAGAGAAUUGAAGCAGAGACGAGGAAAAGCUUAAAGUGACACCAAAGCUGGGCCUUGGCAAGAGGCGAGCUAAGCCUAAAUGCCUGACUAAGAGGCGACAGAUAGAGUUGCACACUGCUUAUUCUGAGUCAACACUCUGUAAUCUCAGCUGGGCUCUCUGCUUGCACCUGCCCCACACACACAAACACAAAGUUAAAUUUACUAUGUGCAUUGUGCCACAUGAGUAUGUAUGCUUGUGAAUACGGGCGUAAGGAAAAGCUCGGUCUGGUCUUUACAGUGUAGAAAAUAAUUUUUUACUUUUAUACUAAUAGUUUAAAGAAAAUCAGGGUGCAAGACAAACGAUAAUUGAAGAUCACUUUGUCAUUUUAAGACAGAUUCUAUGUCACGCUUACUGUGACAUAUCACAGGUCUAAACCGAAAAGAGUAUAAUAGUAAUGAUGCUUUUGACAUCCACUUCUCUUCUCUUGGGUCUUCUUUUCUUUUCUUUUUUCAAAAUAAGUGCUUGUUAUUUUGGCAGCUAUAAAUUAUCCAGUCAAAUGUUCAGUUUAAAAUCCCAUUUCCACUAAAAACUAGGUGACAUGUUUUGUUUCAACACACCAGAGGCCUUUGGCAUGUGAUAAUACCUUGUCUCACACUGGUACAGUGCACCUCCUCCAUAGGAGUGUAAACUAAAUGCUGGCUUUGUCUGAUGGCGUCCCAGCUCACAGCCGAUGUGUAACUGGAUCAGAUCAAACUGGAUGGGUGAUAGUUGUGUUGCAUUUACUCAAUCUUCCCGGUAGGAUCUACAAAUGCUGAAAAUACUUUCUUAAAACAAAAAAGAAUUGGCAAAAAAAGAACCAACUUGGCAGAGUUAGUGGACAAAAUAUUGCCAUAAAGAAUUUGUCCUCUGUGUGUUUACUGUUCAAAUGUUUCUGUUGUGUUACUUCAGCAGUUUUCCCUUCAGUCCCACAAGAAUAAUUUAUGAAAGAGCUGGCUUCCUCCUGCAUCCCCCUCAAAAUUCAGUGCAGUCAGUCUCAAACUAACCCAUGACAGAAACAUCACUGGUAAUGUAUUAUAGAAAAGAUUAAGUACUAGCCUGCGGAAGCGAGUACCCACUGCAGGCUGGAAGAUGCUUCCACAUUGCCAUGCCAUCUCAGUUCUUUUGGUGGUGCAAGUAAGCCUUGAAAUGCUCUCUGUUAUUACUCUUACUAGCAAAGAUUACUGUUUAAGCACACGGGCAGCAUUCCAGAGGGUAGAGAAAAUGUCAAUAAUAGGAAUGAUUAUCAGGACAGCUCCAUCUUAUCCUUGUGUAACACUAAAACUGAAUUCAGUGGAGAGCAAACAGACAGAUGCCAACGGAAAAUGGCAGAGAUGCACGAUUCCACCCACACACUUACUUGCUGGUGAAGGUUAUCUCCAGAAUAUUUCUCAACAUAUGUGAAGGUGGUUUUAUGCCCCCAUCCAUAAAAAAAAAAAAAAAAAGAUUUCCCAGAUUUCUUAAUCCCAUUGGAUUCACCCAGAACUUUGUGACAAGGUUGGCAAGGACAUUUUUGCUGGCUGUGAACAAGCACGUGCAUUAACACACAGAUACCAAAUCUGGGCUUGAGAGAUGCAUCUCUGCAGCCACCAUCAUGCUCGGGGGAACUCACUAUGUGUUCUUAGCCAUUCCUGUGUAACGUGAAAACUUUUGUGCUGCUUUGUGCAACUCUCUUUUAAACUGACUUACAGUGUGCAUGAAUUGUCAUUCCAGAAGCAUUCAGAGCAUUCAGAAUGACUUUUUGUGUGUGUGUGCCUUCCCAAAAGAUAAAAGGCAUUCACGAACAGCAGCACUUGAGCCAAAUGACUCGUCUCCAGCUCAUAUUUCAAGGUGACAGUAAACUCUUGAAAAUGAUAUAAUCCCAUCAGUUUUUACAUUUCAGAGUCAGAACAUCACAGAAAAGCAGCUGCAGAUUUGUAAUCUUAAUAUCUGAUACUUUGGAACUAUC
This is a long non-coding RNA of Astatotilapia calliptera (eastern happy), 4249 nucleotides long. The record is from Ensembl. NCBI's taxonomy places the organism in Eukaryota, Metazoa, Chordata, Actinopteri, Cichliformes, Cichlidae.